GAGUUUGAUCCUGGCUCAGGACGAACGCUGGCGGCGUGCUUAACACAUGCAAGUCGAACGGUGACGACGGAGCUUGCUCUGUCUGAUCAGUGGCGAACGGGUGAGUAACACGUGAGUAACCUGCCCCCGACUCUGGAAUAACCGUGGGAAACGACGGCUAAUACCGGAUAUGAGACGCACAGGCAUCUGUGUGUCUGGAAAGAUUUAUCGGUCAGGGAUGGACUCGCGGCCUAUCAGCUUGUUGGUGGGGUAAUGGCCCACCAAGGCGACGACGGGUAGCCGGCCUGAGAGGGCGACCGGCCACACUGGGACUGAGAUACGGCCCAGACUCCUACGGGAGGCAGCAGUGGGGAAUAUUGCACAAUGGGCGCAAGCCUGAUGCAGCGACGCCGCGUGAGGGAUGAAGGCC
This 409-nucleotide ribosomal RNA is filed under the name uncultured bacterium. RNAcentral's name for it is "bacterial SSU rRNA". It matches the Rfam family "Bacterial small subunit ribosomal RNA", at positions 9 to 416 of the family's 1533-position model. The record is from RNAcentral.